This 497-nucleotide unclassified non-coding RNA is filed under the name uncultured Glomus. RNAcentral describes it as "SSU rRNA". It matches the Rfam family "Eukaryotic small subunit ribosomal RNA", at positions 569 to 1070 of the family's 1831-position model. The record is from RNAcentral. Lineage: Eukaryota; Fungi; Glomeromycota; Glomeromycetes; Glomerales; Glomeraceae.
AGCAGCCGCGGUAAUUCCAGCUCCAAUAGCGUAUAUUAAAGUUGUUGCAGUUAAAAAGCUCGUAGUUGAAUUUCGGGGUCAGUAGAUUGGUCGUGCCACUGGUAUGUACUGGUCUUACUGGCUCCUCCUUCCUGAUGAACCGUAAUGCCAUUAAUUUGGUGUUGCGGGGAGACUGGACUGUUACUUUGAAAAAUUAGAGUGUUUAAAGCAGGCUAACGCUUGAAUACAUUAGCAUGGAAUAAUGAAAUAGGACGUUCGAUCUUAUUUUGUUGGUUUCUAAGAUUGACGUAAUGAUUAAUAGGGAUAGUUGGGGGCAUUAGUAUUCAAUUGUCAGAGGUGAAAUUCUUGGAUUUAUUGAAGACUAACUACUGCGAAAGCAUUUGCCAAGGAUGUUUUCAUUAAUCAAGAACGAAAGUUAGGGGAUCGAAGACGAUCAGAUACCGUCGUAGUCUUAACCAUAAACUAUAGCCGACUAGGGAUCGGAUGAUGUUAAUUUU